This 252-nucleotide ribosomal RNA is filed under the name uncultured bacterium. RNAcentral's name for it is "partial 16S ribosomal RNA". It matches the Rfam family "Bacterial small subunit ribosomal RNA", at positions 524 to 776 of the family's 1533-position model. The record is from RNAcentral.
UACGGAGGAUGCGAGCGUUAUCCGGAUUUAUUGGGUUUAAAGGGUGCGCAGGCGGCACGGCAAGCCGGCGGUCAAAUCGCGGGGCUCAACCCCUCCCAGCCGUCGGAACUGCCGGGCUAGAGUGGGCGAGAAGUGCGCGGAAUGCGUGGUGUAGCGGUGAAAUGCAUAGAUAUCACGCAGAACUCCGAUUGCGAAGGCAGCGCACCGGCGCCCUACUGACGCUCAGGUACGAAAGCGUGGGUAUCGAACAGG